Molecule: long non-coding RNA, 2211 nt
Organism: Cercocebus atys (sooty mangabey)
Lineage: Eukaryota; Metazoa; Chordata; Mammalia; Primates; Cercopithecidae
Exons: 7
Source: RefSeq, a predicted model, not a curated record
CUCUGAGCUUCCUUGAUGGGCUCCUGCCACCGCAAACCUGAACUGGAAUAAGAAGGUUGCAGAAGCUUCUGCUAUGCAAUGCGUACACCUCUCCGGAUCUAUUUUCACCAUCCUCCCCUGCCACCAGAUCAAUAAUUAACAUCAGGACAUUCCUAUGUUAUGUAUUUAUUUUCCUCCAUAGAGAAAUCAAAAUACUCCAGUUGUGGACCAUUCUUUUAUCUGAGAUCCCUCCUCUUUUUGGUUGAAAAACUAACAACAACGACGAAAAGAGUAUCUUUUUUAAAAAAUCUUUUGGAAGACUAGAAAAAUAUGCUAUGAAAAAUAUUAAUAACAACAAACUCAUCAAAACAAUCUUGAAAACACCAAGGGAACACAGAAGUUCAAACUUACCGCCUUUGAAAAGACUUCUGAAAUGAGGGUGUAAUAAUAGACUCCUAUUGCUGGGGUGACUCAUGGGAGGAGUGUUUAUGGAACUACAGAGGAAAGAAGCUAGUGAAUCAAUGCUUCCUCGGUUGAAGCCAAAGGUCAGAAGCCUUUGCUCUUCUUCAAAGGACCCACAGCAGUGAGGAUGAAGGCCCCUGCGUAGAAGAUGCAUUAUUCAUAAAGAGAUAAAUCUUCCAGUCAUCAAAAAGAGAAGCUGGGCCGAAAGAAAACUUAACAAAUACGCAUUAUAUCAUGUAUCUUCUUAAACGUCUAUUUAAAAAAAAAUCAUUUCUCUAGUCCUUUUUACAUUUCUGGAAUGGAAAUCAUGGCAAAAUGUUUCAAAUAAUUUACUCGUUUGGGAAAACCGUAGAAUAGGGUUACAACUUCUAUUAGCCAUCUAAAAAUGGGUACAUUUUGGACAUGCGUAGAUUCAGGGUAGAAGGGAAUUUAGGAUAAGAGAACAAAAAGAGCAAAAUCUAAGAUACUAAGUGAUGUAAAAGAACACUGAAUACAUUAUUUUGACUGAGGUAACUGGAGAUGAAAGGGAAUGCUAAAAAAUAUGGCUGGAAAUGCAGAUUGCCAUAAGAACAAGUAAAGAUUAUAAGGAUAGUCUACAGAAUUUGGUUGUGACACUACAGGCUGACAGAAAAUAAUGAGAAUAUUCAAACAAGUGAAUUAAAUGGUAAUAGUCAUGCUUCAAAAAGUUAAGUCUGUCAGAUGAGUAAAUGUUAAAAUGGAAAUGAGAGAGAAUGAAGGUAGAAAGAUCAGUUAGGAAACUACAAGAAGAUUUAGUUCCAACAAUGAAGUCCAGGAUGAGAAAGAUGGAAAUGGGAAUAAAAAGAAAUUAUCCCCACAGUGCUUGCAGAGGCCUCUUUGCUCAUGUUUCCUCGCCUUAGAAUGAAAUCUUUACGUGACUGGUUCUUUCCCAGCAUCCACGUUUUAUCUCAAAUGUUGUCUUGAAAAGGCUUUUUCUUACAACUGCCAUCACAACUUUCAUUUGAUACAAACUGCCCUAUUGGAUUGAAUUUGUAGUAACUACCAUUUUCUGAAAUGAUCUUGCUUCUUCAGGUGUUGUUUAUUUACCAGCCUUCUCCCCUGAAACCACUCACUACAAUAUAAGUGUCACGGAACUAGGGUCCUUUUUUACUUUUAUUCACUUCACAUCCACAAUGUGUUGAAGAGUCCUUGGGAUACUCUAGCACUCAGCAAAUUAUGUUGAAGAAUAAAUGAAAGAAUGAAUAGCAAGUGUCAAUAAGUGAUAGUUGAAUAAAUGGAGAAAUCACUGGGAUGAAUAAGGUCACUUGAGCUCAUGAGUCUUACAUCCUAACAAAUUUGUUUAUGAUCUAUCCAACAAAAAGGAGUUGUCAACAGAAGUUUUAAAAGAGGAAUUUUUGAAUGUUUGUUUUACCAAUGUUGUUGUUUUACCUGAAAUUAGGGUUGUAGAAUUUAAAAUAAAUUUUGAACUAUAAUUGUGUCUGUAUUUGGUUAGGGAAAUCACCAGUUUUUAUAACCUGUGUAAAUUGCUUACCUUGCUUUAACAUCCAGUUUUCUUAUCUAUAAAAUAUGAAUAAUAUUGUUUUAAGUAUUAAGUAUACUUCACUUUUUAAGUAUUAAAUACGGUAAUUCAUGUGAAGUGUUGAGUGAAGUGAUUGGAGCAUCAUGACUUCUGAUUAUACAUUAGCUAUUAUGAAAACUAUUAUUAGUCACAGUGCAAUGGUUAAAAGAACAGAUUUGGGGGCCGGGCACGGUGGCUCAAGCCUGUAAUCCCAGCACUUUGGGAGGCCGAGA